This is a long non-coding RNA of Cyprinus carpio (common carp), 985 nucleotides long. RefSeq lists it as uncharacterized. NCBI's taxonomy places the organism in Eukaryota, Metazoa, Chordata, Actinopteri, Cypriniformes, Cyprinidae. The transcript has 3 exons. The record is from RefSeq and is a predicted model, not a curated record.
CUCUGCAGGAAAGUGGAUCUCGUGGGCCAGAUCUGAGGAUCCCUGUUGUACAUGUUGUAUUCGUACUAAAACGAUGAUUACUCUAGUUUAUUUUUGUUAUGUGCAACUGUAAAGUUAACAUAUCUUUACAAGCUAAAGUUCACUGACCAAGUAAAAUAACUUACAGCUUAGUUUAUUUUCCACACGAUACAGCACUAGUUAAAGUUUCUUCAAACAUACAAAAAGUAGCAUACGACGGUACCACAAGGUACUGAAGGACUGCAAUAUUAAUGUACUAAUGUAUUGACAAGGAAAAACGUGAUCUGAAUGAAGAGAUUCUUUCUGGCUGACAAACAUAUGUAUUUGUAGGGCUCGUGUGCCAGUAAAAACAGUUAAGCGAUGCUAAUGGUAACGCCCAAGAUCGUUCUAAUGGACUACAAAUACCAGCAGCAUGAGGAGCGCAGAACUACAAGAGUCCACAUUCGGGUUAGAGCGCAGAAAAUUACAAAGUAUAAUUUGUCUGAUAACCUACACGCGUGAAUAACUCUAUUGAUAGCAGUUGAUUCUGCGAACUAGAAUAUACAAUCUGUUUUUUAUUACAAUAUUAGUGCAGCACAUAUGUAACCGGAAGAAGUUUCACUCGGUGCAUAAUGACGCAGCGGAAAGGCAGUGUUCUUCCUUUCCUCCAUUAGGUGAGUGCGUGGUGAGAGCGCGCUUCGUCGCUCUCCUCAGAUUUGUCGAAAAAUACUUAAUUCACUCACUUAUGAAUACAAAUUUUCUUCUUUAAAGUCAUUGUUAUUGUGUACAUUACAGAUUGCAACCAUGGGCCGCCGUCCAGCCCGUUGGUAAGUUGUGAAUUUGGUGUUUUAAAAACUGGCCGUAGUGAAAAUGGCAGGGCCCGCUAACCAUGUGCCGCACACCGGCCUCCUUCAGCAGCGACAGUACCGUACCCGCGCUGGUUCUACUGAAGAAAAACUUAUCUUCUAAUAAAGUGCAUUAUAAAAUU